This 84-nucleotide transfer RNA is filed under the name Ixodes scapularis (black-legged tick). RNAcentral's name for it is "tRNA-Leu". It matches the Rfam family "tRNA". Rfam says of the family: Transfer RNA (tRNA) molecules are approximately 80 nucleotides in length. Their secondary structure includes four short double-helical elements and three loops (D, anti-codon, and T loops). The record is from RNAcentral. Lineage: Eukaryota; Metazoa; Arthropoda; Arachnida; Ixodida; Ixodidae.
GUCAGGAUGGCCGAGCGGUCUAAGGCGCUGCGUUCAGGUCGCAGUCCGGUCUUCCGGGCGUGGGUUCGAAUCCCACAUCUGACA